ACCCGCCUCACGUCCUGUGACAGACUGGCGUCCCGUCCAGGGUCAACCCACCUCACGUCCUGUGACAGACCGGCGUCCCGUCCAGGGUCAACCCGCGUCACGCCUUGUGACAGACCGGCAUCCCAUCCAGGGUCAACCCGCCUCACAUCCUGUGACAGACUGGCGUCCUGUCCAGGGUGAACCCGCCUCACACCCUGUGAC
Molecule: long non-coding RNA, 201 nt
Organism: Thalassophryne amazonica
Lineage: Eukaryota; Metazoa; Chordata; Actinopteri; Batrachoidiformes; Batrachoididae
Exons: 3
Source: RefSeq, a predicted model, not a curated record